GAAGUACUCCCUCUGUUCUAAAAUUCUUGUCUUAGAUUUGUUUAGAUAUGAAUGUAUCUAGUUAUGUUUUAGUAUUUUGAUACAUUCAUUUUUAAACAAGCUUAAGACAAAAAUUUUGGGACGCAGGGAGUACAAA
This 136-nucleotide microRNA precursor is filed under the name Hordeum vulgare. RNAcentral's name for it is "microRNA MIR1122". It matches the Rfam family "MIR1120/MIR1122 microRNA precursor family". Lineage: Eukaryota; Viridiplantae; Streptophyta; Magnoliopsida; Poales; Poaceae. The record is from RNAcentral.